RNAcentral lists this ribosomal RNA (403 nucleotides) under uncultured Olsenella sp. Its description in RNAcentral is "bacterial SSU rRNA". It matches the Rfam family "Bacterial small subunit ribosomal RNA", at positions 358 to 774 of the family's 1533-position model. Lineage: Bacteria; Bacillati; Actinomycetota; Coriobacteriia; Coriobacteriales; Atopobiaceae. The record is from RNAcentral.
GGAAUCUUGCACAAUGGGCGAAAGCCUGAUGCAGCGACGCCGCGUGCGGGAAGAAGGCCCUCGGGUUGUAAACCGCUUUCAGCAGGGACGAGGCGCGAGUGACGGUACCUGCAGAAGAAGCCCCGGCUAACUACGUGCCAGCAGCCGCGGUAAUACGUAGGGGGCGAGCGUUAUCCGGAUUCAUUGGGCGUAAAGCGCGCGUAGGCGGCGCGUUAGGUCGGGAGUCAAAUGCGGGGGCUCAACCCCCGUCCGCUCCCGAUACCGGCGGGCUUGAGUCUGGUAGAGGAAGGUGGAACUCCAAGUGUAGCGGUGGAAUGCGCAGAUAUUUGGAAGAACACCGGUGGCGAAGGCGGCCUUCUGGGCCACGACUGACGCUGAGGCGCGAAAGCUAGGGGAGCAAACA